AGUGAACGCUGGCGGUAGGCCUAACACAUGCAAGUCGAACGGCAGCACAGUAAGAGCUUGCUCUUACGGGUGGCGAGUGGCGGACGGGUGAGGAAUACAUCGGAAUCUACUUUUUCGUGGGGGAUAACGUAGGGAAACUUACGCUAAUACCGCAUACGACCUACGGGUGAAAGCAGGGGAUCUUCGGACCUUGCGCGAUUGAAUGAGCCGAUGUCGGAUUAGCUAGUUGGCGGGGUAAAGGCCCACCAAGGCGACGAUCCGUAGCUGGUCUGAGAGGAUGAUCAGCCACACUGGAACUGAGACACGGUCCAGACUCCUACGGGAGGCAGCAGUGGGGAAUAUUGGACAAUGGGCGCAAGCCUGAUCCAGCCAUACCGCGUGGGUGAGAAGGCCUUCGGGUUGUAAAGCCCUUUUGUUGGGAAAGAAAAGCAGCAGGUUAAUACCCCGCUGUUCUGACGGUACCCAAAGAAUAAGCACCGGCUAACUUCGUG
Molecule: ribosomal RNA, 491 nt
Filed under: uncultured bacterium
Lineage: Bacteria
Description: partial 16S ribosomal RNA
Rfam family: Bacterial small subunit ribosomal RNA
Source: RNAcentral